CGUAGGUGGCAAGCGUUGUCCGGAAUUAUUGGGCGUAAAGCGCGCGCGGGCGGUCCUUUAAGUCUGAUGUGAAAGCCCACGGCUCAACCGUGGAGGGUCAUUGGAAACUGGGGGACUUGAGUACAGAAGAGAAGAGUGGAAUUCCACGUGUAGCGGUGAAAUGCGUAGAGAUGUGGAGGAACACCAGUGGCGAAGGCGACUCUUUGGUCUGUAACUGACGCUGAGGCGCGAAAGCGUGGGGAGCAAACAGGAUUAGAUACCCUCGUAGUCCACGCUGUAAACGAUGAGUGCUAAGUGUUAGAGGGUUUCCGCCCUUUAGUGCUGCAACUAACGCAUUAAGCACUCCGCCUGGGAAGUACGGCCGCAAGGCUG
This 372-nucleotide ribosomal RNA is filed under the name uncultured organism. RNAcentral's name for it is "bacterial SSU rRNA". It matches the Rfam family "Bacterial small subunit ribosomal RNA", at positions 526 to 896 of the family's 1533-position model. The record is from RNAcentral.